GGGCCAGUAGCUCAGUUGGUUAGAGCGCGUCCCUGAUAAGGACGAGGUCAAUGGUUCGACUCCAUCCUGGCCCA
This 74-nucleotide transfer RNA is filed under the name Planctomycetota bacterium. RNAcentral's name for it is "Planctomycetes bacterium (groundwater metagenome) tRNA-Ile". It matches the Rfam family "tRNA". Rfam says of the family: Transfer RNA (tRNA) molecules are approximately 80 nucleotides in length. Their secondary structure includes four short double-helical elements and three loops (D, anti-codon, and T loops). The record is from RNAcentral. Lineage: Bacteria; Pseudomonadati; Planctomycetota.